Molecule: ribosomal RNA, 408 nt
Filed under: Pieris brassicae (large cabbage white)
Lineage: Eukaryota; Metazoa; Arthropoda; Insecta; Lepidoptera; Pieridae
Description: partial 16S ribosomal RNA
Source: RNAcentral
GCCCACUGAAUUAUUUUAAAGGGCUGCAGUAUAUUGACUGUACAAAGGUAGCAUAAUCAUUAGUCUUUUAAUUGAAGACUUGUAUGAAUGAUUUGAUGAAAUAUAAACUGUCUCUUUAUUAAUAAUAGAAAUUAAUUUUUUAGUUAAAAAGCUAAAAUUUAUUUAAAAGACGAGAAGACCCUAUAGAGUUUUAUAUUUAAAUUUAUAUUAAUUCUUUAUAAAAUUUAUAUUUAAUAUUUUUUUAAUUAUUUUAUUGGGGUGAUAGAAAAAUUUAUUAAACUUUUUUUAAAAUUUUUACAUUAAUAUAUGAAAUUUUGAUCCAUAAUUUAUGAUUAAAAGAUUAAAUUACCUUAGGGAUAACAGCGUAAUUUUUUUUUUUAGUUCUUAUAAGAAAAAAAGUUUGCGACC